GAUGAACGCUGGCGGCGUGCCUAAUACAUGCAAGUCGAGCGAACAGACGAGGAGCUUGCUCCUCUGACUUUAGCGGCGGACGGGUGAGUAACACGUGGAUAACCUACCUAUAAGACUGGGAUAACUUCGGGAAACCGGAGCUAAUACCGGAUAAUAUAUUGAACCGCAUGGUUCAAUAGUGAAAGACGGUUUUGCUGUCACUUAUAGAUGGAUCCGCGCCGCAUUAGCUAGUUGGUAAGGUAACGGCUUAACAAGGCAACGAUGCGUAGCCGACCUGAGAGGGUGAUCGGCCACACUGGAACUGAGACACGGUCCAGACUCCUACGGGAGGCAGCAGUAGGGACUCUUCCGCAAUGGGCGAAAGCCUGACGGAGCAACGCCGCGUGAGUGAUGAAGGUCUUCGGAUCGUAAAGCUCUGUUAUUAGGGAAGAACAAAUGUGUAAGUAACUAUGCACGUCUUGACGGUACCUAAUCAGAAAGCCACGGCUAACUACGUG
RNAcentral lists this ribosomal RNA (497 nucleotides) under uncultured bacterium. RNAcentral's name for it is "partial 16S ribosomal RNA". It matches the Rfam family "Bacterial small subunit ribosomal RNA", at positions 28 to 507 of the family's 1533-position model. The record is from RNAcentral.